This 929-nucleotide ribosomal RNA is filed under the name uncultured heterolobosean. Its description in RNAcentral is "bacterial SSU rRNA". It matches the Rfam family "Eukaryotic small subunit ribosomal RNA", at positions 564 to 1472 of the family's 1831-position model. Lineage: Eukaryota; Heterolobosea. The record is from RNAcentral.
GUGCCAAGCAGNCGCGGUAUUUCGGCUCCCAAGAGCAUACACCUACAUUGCUGCAGUUAAAACGCUCGUAGUCUAUGUGAAGACCUACGCUAUGUGUCAUGUAGCCUUAACCGGGGAUUCAAUCCUUCUGUCUUUGGUAUGCUCUGUAGAGGAUCAUUGACGGAACGUCAUGACAGCGUAGCGUUAGGCUUUUUCGAUCGUGAACAAAUCAAUGCGAUCAAAGCAGGCACUGUAGUGCUCGCUCGAAUGUACUAGCAUGAAACCGAAAACAAUAAGCCGUUGCACACGUGCAUCGGUUUGCUGAAUAAUAGGAGGCUGAAGUAGGAUACUGGUAUUGCAAGCGCAGAGGUGAAAUUCCGACAUUCUAGCAAGACCACCAGAAGCGAAGGCUGACAUGUCUCUCACGCUUCCAUUGAUCAGGAACGAAAGUUAGGGGAUCGAAGAUGAUUAGAUACCGUCGUAGUCCUAACCGUAAACUAUACCGCCAGGCAAUUGGUGGAACACAAAAGAGAUUCUCUCAGCAGCCCAAGGAAACUGAAAGGUUUCAGGUUCUGGGGGGAGUAUAGUUGCAAGACCGAAACUUAAAGGAAUUGACGGAAAGGCACAACCAGGGGUGGAGUCUGCGGCUUAAUUCGACUCAACACGGGAAAACUCACCAAGUCCAGAUAGUGUAAUGAUUGACAGGUUAAUAGCCCUUUCUUGAUUCUCUAAUAGGUGGUGCAUGGCCGUUCUUAGUUCGUGGAGUGAUCUGUCUAGUUAAUUCUGAUAACGAACGAGACCUUUACCAUUGAUUGCGAGGCUGACAGCCUGCUUCGGCGGGCGCAGCUCUCAUAGACAGCAACACAAUUUGUCUGUCAUAGGCUACAAUGGGACUAUAGCGCGAAACAAAGCCUAAAGAAGGUAUAGGCAAUAACAGGUCUGUGAUGCCC